CGCUGGCGGCCUGGCGGUUCUCCUCCUGCAGGGACGCGCAGCCCGGGACCGCCACAAGCAGCGCGGGGUGGGGAGGGCGGGGCCGGGGGACAGGAGGGGAGGCGCCCGGGCGCUUUCAACGGUCCAGGUCUGCGGAUGGAGCGGGGACCCACCCGCUCACUGUCCCCUUCAGCAGUCAGCGCCUGGCGCCAGGGAGCUGUCCGCCCCGGUGGUUCUGAACCAGGCGCUGCUGAAACGCUCCAGGUUUUGGUGUUGGUGCUGUGAACGGCUAAUUUCCUUGGAUCCAGAAGCUGGAUUUUCUUGGAUUCUUAGAAGCUGGCUUGACAUUGAAGUCUAUCAAAGAGAAUUUGCAUCUGCUUUUCACAGCAUCCUAGAGGUGCUACCAAUCUGGGACCACUUUGAAUAUAUUUAUCUAUUUGUGAUUUUUGGUGGCUGCAGAGGUUCUGUGAAUUUGGACUAAAAACUCUUGUAAUAUCUUAGUUGUAUAUUUUCAGAGGAAUUUUUUUUUUUUUUGCCAACACCAAGUCUAGAUAGGCAGAGAGGAUACCUGAGUAAUUCUGUGAAGGUGAAUUACAUUCGUGCCUUGGAAAGGCUACCUUGAUGAUAGAUGAGAUUUGGGGAGUUGGACAUCUGCUGUGACCAGAGGGCUGUUACAGAAGGGAAUUUGGAGAUUCCAGUUGGUUACAGGGGCACAUGCAAUGUUAUUUUUAACCUCCCUUACAGGAGGGACUGGCAUUUCUCUGGUUGCUAGGGAAAUUGUGUUCUGAACUGUUACACAUUGGUUCCUAAUUUUAAAAGUCUUAGGGAAAACUAGAAAACUUUAUGAGCCAGUACCAGUGUGUUGUGCUAGGACUGUGCACCUGCUAAAACGUGGCUAUUUUUCUCUUAAUGUACUCAUGGGCAACUGUCACCAUAGCAACAACAAUGCGGGACCUUGCUGGUUCAUAGCGGAGGAUUCCUGUUGGUUUAGUGAUGGAGGCCAGUCCAGAAGCCUGUUCAGGAUUGAAGGAAGGUGAUGGAUUAGAGUUGAAAUAUCAUGGAGACCCUCUUCCCAGGGAAAGAAAGGGGGAAAUUUGACCGCUGGAAAGAGUGAGAGUGAGAUCUCCCGACUUUGCAUUCCUGAAGACUGCUUGGGCCUGGUGAGACAGGCAUGUUUUGUUUGGAUGCUAAAUUAAGUGGAGAGGAGACCUUAUGAUGAGCGCCCAGGGAGCAAGAGAAGCCCUGAGACAGUGGCAAGGGACACUGUGGGGCCGCAGUAUGCAUCCAGGAGGGAUGGUCAUGGUGGACCUGAAAGACCUGAACAGAGAGCCUUUGUGAGGAGCUGAGCUGAGCUGAACUGGCAUUUGGAAGCAGAGCCUCAGGGAGACCCAGUUCUGAUGGAAUUGAGAGAGGGCGACGUGGGAGUUGGUAUAAGGAAAGUCUUGUAGCAGAGGGCACUGUGACAGGUGCUCUCAAAAGGACCUUCAGCCUGAGAAGUUUAAGAGUUAAAGAAAGGAAAGAAACAUGAAAUGUGGCUUGACAGUUAAAGACAGAUUUAUUUUAGAGAAAAUAAACCUGAGAGGGGCUUCUGGCUGAUUUCAGUCAGGAGUGCUUGCUAUUACAGACUAAGAGUACAUGUUAGUUUUAGGGUGAGGGGGCUUAUUGCAAGCUUGGAAUAUUUCUGUGUGAGGGAGAAGUUUUAUGGUGGGAUUGGAACGUCUCCAGGAGGAGGGGAGGUUAUCUUGGGGAUGACAUCUUUCCAGCUGGAGGGGUGUUAUCUUAGAGAUGGCGUUUUCCCAGCUGGAGUGGGGUUAUCUCAGGGCUAGCAUGUCUCUGGUCGGGGAGGAGUUUGAAAUGUUUCUGGUUGGAGAUGUUAUUUGUGGUUUAAGGUCAUGCAGACCUUAGCCAUUAGGCUGAUGCCCUUUGGAUUUGGGCGGUUUUUGAUUAAGGUAAACCUUAGAAUGAGGAGCUUGUCCAAGAUGGUGAUGCUUCUGCUCUGCUGAGAAGCAGCCUGGAGGCAGGUGGGAGCACUGUGGGUCCAGUUCUGGUGGUCUUUAA
Sapajus apella (tufted capuchin) is the source of this 2037-nucleotide long non-coding RNA. RefSeq lists it as uncharacterized. The record is from RefSeq and is a predicted model, not a curated record. The transcript is spliced from 6 exons. Lineage: Eukaryota; Metazoa; Chordata; Mammalia; Primates; Cebidae.